GACGAACGCUGGCGGCGUGCUUAACACAUGCAAGUCGAACGGUGAAGCUCCAGCUUGCUGGAGUGGAUCAGUGGCGAACGGGUGAGUAACACGAGAGCAACCUGCCCCUGACUCUGGAAUAAGCGCUGGAAACGGCGUCUAAUACUGGAUACGAGACGGGUCGGCAUGGGGACGUUCUGGAAAGUGGUUCGGUUGGGGAUGGGCUCGCGGCCUAUCAGCUUGUUGGUGAGGUAAUGGCUCACCAAGGCGACGACGGGUAGCCGGCCUGAGAGGGGGACCGGCCACACUGGGACUGAGACACGGCCCAGACUCCUACGGGAGGCAGCAGUGGGGAAUAUUGCGCAAUGGGCGGAAGCCUGAUGCAGCGACGCCGCGUGAGGGAUGACGGCCUUCGGGUUGUAAACCUCUUUCAGCAGGGAAGAAGCGAAAGUGACGGUACCUGCAGAAGAAGCACCGGCUAACUACGUG
RNAcentral lists this ribosomal RNA (468 nucleotides) under uncultured bacterium. RNAcentral describes it as "partial 16S ribosomal RNA". It matches the Rfam family "Bacterial small subunit ribosomal RNA", at positions 28 to 507 of the family's 1533-position model. The record is from RNAcentral.